CGGUGGACCCCCACUGCUGCGGCCUUCAAAGCGACCCCAGGUCAGGCGGGGAUACCCGCUGAGUUUAAGCAUAUCAAUAA
Molecule: ribosomal RNA, 80 nt
Filed under: Debregeasia edulis
Lineage: Eukaryota; Viridiplantae; Streptophyta; Magnoliopsida; Rosales; Urticaceae
Description: partial 28S ribosomal RNA
Source: RNAcentral